This 108-nucleotide non-coding RNA is filed under the name uncultured Butyricicoccus sp. Its description in RNAcentral is "FMN riboswitch (RFN element)". It matches the Rfam family "FMN riboswitch aptamer (RFN element)". From Rfam's summary of the family: The RFN element is a highly conserved domain that is found frequently in the 5'-untranslated regions of prokaryotic mRNAs that encode for flavin mononucleotide (FMN) biosynthesis and transport proteins. This element is a metabolite-dependent riboswitch that directly binds FMN in the absence of proteins. The record is from RNAcentral. Lineage: Bacteria; Bacillati; Bacillota; Clostridia; Eubacteriales; Butyricicoccaceae.
AUCUUCAGGGCGGGGUGGAAGUCCCCACCGGCGGUACAGUCCGCGAGCCGAAAGGCACGAAUCGGUGCAAUUCCGAUACCGACAGUUAAAGUCUGGAUGGAAGAAGAA